Molecule: ribosomal RNA, 507 nt
Filed under: uncultured bacterium
Lineage: Bacteria
Description: partial 16S ribosomal RNA
Rfam family: Bacterial small subunit ribosomal RNA
Source: RNAcentral
GACGAACGCUGGCGGCGUGCCUAAUACAUGCAAGUCGAACGCAUUUUCUUUCACCGUAGCUUGCUACACCGAAAGAAAAUGAGUGGCGAACGGGUGAGUAACACGUGGGUAACCUGCCCAUCAGCGGGGGAUAACACUUGGAAACAGGUGCUAAUACCGCAUAAUUCCAUUUACCGCAUGGUAGAUGGGUGAAAGGCGCUUUUGCGUCACUGAUGGAUGGACCCGCGGUGCAUUAGCUAGUUGGUGGGGUAACGGCCUACCAAGGCUGCGAUGCAUAGCCGACCUGAGAGGGUGAUCGGCCACACUGGGACUGAGACACGGCCCAGACUCCUACGGGAGGCAGCAGUAGGGAAUCUUCGGCAAGGGACGCAAGUCUGACCGAGCAACGCCGCGGGAGUGAAGAAGGUUUUCGGAUCGUAAAACUCUGUUGUUAGAGAAGAACAAGGAUGAGAGUGGAAAGUUCAUCCCUUGACGGUAUCUAACCAGAAAGCCACGGCUAACUACGUG